GUGGGGAAUAUUGCACAAUGGGGGAAACCCUGAUGCAGCGACGCCGCGUGAGUGAAGAAGUAUUUCGGUAUGUAAAGCUCUAUCAGCAGGGAAGAAAAGAUGACGGUACCUGACUAAGAAGCCCCGGCUAACUACGUGCCAGCAGCCGCGGUAAUACGUAGGGGGCAAGCGUUAUCCGGAUUUACUGGGUGUAAAGGGAGCGUAGACGGUGAAGCAAGUCUGGAGUGAAAGGCCGGGGCUCAACCCCGGGACUGCUUUGGAAACUGUUUAACUGGAGUACAGGAGAGGUAAGUGGAAUUCCUAGUGUAGCGGUGAAAUGCGUAGAUAUUAGGAGGAACACCAGUGGCGAAGGCGGCUUACUGGACUGUAACUGACGUUGAGGCUCGAAAGCGUGGGGAGCAAACAGG
Molecule: ribosomal RNA, 407 nt
Filed under: uncultured bacterium
Lineage: Bacteria
Description: bacterial SSU rRNA
Rfam family: Bacterial small subunit ribosomal RNA
Source: RNAcentral